AUUGAACGCUGGCGGCAUGCUUUACACAUGCAAGUCGAACGGUAGGGGGGGCAACCCCUUGAGAGUGGCGAACGGGUGAGUAAUGCAUCGGAACGUGCCCAGUCGUGGGGGAUAACGCAGCGAAAGCUGUGCUAAUACCGCAUACGAUCUCUGGAUGAAAGCGGGGGACCGAAAGGCCUCGCGCGAUUGGAGCGGCCGAUGUCAGAUUAGGUAGUUGGUGGGGUAAAGGCUCACCAAGCCAACGAUCUGUAGCUGGUCUGAGAGGACGACCAGCCACACUGGGACUGAGACACGGCCCAGACUCCUACGGGAGGCAGCAGUGGGGAAUUUUGGACAAUGGGCGCAAGCCUGAUCCAGCAAUGCCGCGUGCGGGAAGAAGGCCUUCGGGUUGUAAACUGCUUUUGUACGGAACGAAAAGGUCUGGGUUAAUACCCUGGGCACAUGACGGUACCGUAAGAAUAAGCACCGGCUAACUACGUGCCAGCAGCCGCCGUAA
RNAcentral lists this ribosomal RNA (496 nucleotides) under uncultured bacterium. Its description in RNAcentral is "partial 16S ribosomal RNA". It matches the Rfam family "Bacterial small subunit ribosomal RNA", at positions 29 to 523 of the family's 1533-position model. The record is from RNAcentral.